This 868-nucleotide small RNA is filed under the name Pan troglodytes (chimpanzee). RNAcentral describes it as "processed transcript". The record is from RNAcentral. Lineage: Eukaryota; Metazoa; Chordata; Mammalia; Primates; Hominidae.
UGUUGAAGAUCUUUAUGUAGAAGGACUUCCUGAAGGAAUUCCUUUUAGAAGGCCAUCUACUUACGGAAUUCCUCGCCUGGAGAGGAUAUUACUUGCAAAGGAAAGGAUUCGUUUUGUGAUUAAGAAACAUGAGCUUCUGAAUUCAACACGUGAAGAUUUACAGCUUGAUAAGCCAGCUUCAGGAGUAAAGGAAGAAUGGUAUGCCAGAAUCACUAAAUUAAGAAAGAUGGUGGAUCAGCUUUUCUGCAAAAAAUUUGCGGAAGCCUUGGGGAGCACUGAAGCCAAGGCUGUACCGUACCAAAAAUUUGAGGCACACCCGAAUGAUCUGUACGUGGAAGGACUGCCAGAAAACAUUCCUUUCCGAAGUCCCUCAUGGUAUGGAAUCCCAAGGCUGGAAAAAAUCAUUCAAGUGGGCAAUCGAAUUAAAUUUGUUAUUAAAAGACCAGAACUUCUGACUCACAGUACCACUGAAGUUACUCAGCCAAGAACGAAUACACCAGUCAAAGAAGAUUGGAAUGUCAGAAUUACCAAGCUACGGAAGCAAGUGGAAGAGAUUUUUAAUUUGAAAUUUGCUUAGAUUUGUUGACAGCGGUUUCCUGGAGUGCUGUCUUGAGAACGAUUCUGAGGAGGCUCAGCAAGAAAGAGUGUUUCAGUUGAUUGGGUGUGUCUGUCAUGGAGAAGGAACUCAAGCUCUUGGACUCACCGAGGCGGUAAAAGUACCAUAUCCUGUGUUUGAAUCAAACCCGGAGUUCUUGUACGUGGAAGGCUUGCCAGAGGGGAUUCCCUUCCGAAGCCCUACCUGGUUUGGAAUUCCACGACUUGAAAGGAUCGUCCGCGGGAGUAAUAAAAUCAAGUUCGUUGUUAAAAA